AGAAACAUGCUGUCCAAUUGAUUUAUAGGUCUUCAAAUUUUUGGCGUCUAUAUACAAGAUAAGUACUAAAAUAAGCUUAAAAAUACAUAUCUUUGAAAAGAAAAUAGUAAUAAAAGCACGUGAGUAGUUGUUUGGUAAAUUGGUAAAUCGUAGGGUAGACGACGAGUGCAGGUGCAACAAUAAGUUUAGUUUUGGUAAUUUGUUUAGUUUUGAAUGUGUUUGUGUAUCAACUAAUCACUAUAGUAGUAAUGUUUUGGAAGUGCAGAAGUAGAAAGCACUCCAUUCCACUUUGCUGCUGCUAUUCAUUUUGUUUGGCUUCAUUGUGAUAUAUAUGCGAAACCAUGCUAAUUUUUUUGGUGAAGUUGAUAGGAGAAUCUUUCUGUUAGUGAUAGGCUUAGUAGUUAAACAUGGUUAAACGCAGUGUUUGGUAUGAAGCUGUCUCUUGCUAUUGUGUUUAAGUUAGAUUGUGAUUUGUUGUUGGAUGCAUGUUUGCUGCUGCUUCUUAUUGUGACUGUGAUCUCACUAGCUGUGUAGUUCCAAACACAAAAUGUUGGCAGUUGAGUUAUUGAUUUAGGCAGAUGUGCAUUAUUUUCAUCUAUCUCUAUUGUUUAUUUACUUUGGUUUUGGAUUUGCCUAUCGUUUCCAUGUGAAUAACCAGAAAAUAGAUUGAUGAAAUGAGGAUAGAGUGGGCAGAGUUUCUAAGUUCGAUUGAUGAUUGAUGAUGAUGGUGUAACUUUGACACUCAAGUAACCUCAUUUUUUACUCACAUGUAUUAUGAUCAACAAUAUUUUUUUGGAUUUGAUGUACGAUGUUUGUAUGAUGAAUACUUUUUCAAUGUAGGAUGAUAAUUAACUUUGAAACUAAUGAAUGACAUUUUUAUUA
Long non-coding RNA from Salvia miltiorrhiza (redroot sage), 882 nucleotides. RefSeq lists it as uncharacterized. The transcript is spliced from 2 exons. The record is from RefSeq and is a predicted model, not a curated record. Lineage: Eukaryota; Viridiplantae; Streptophyta; Magnoliopsida; Lamiales; Lamiaceae.